GUAGGUAGGCCCNCCAAACCUUCGAUGGAUAGGGGUUCUGAGAGGAAGGUCCCCCACAUUGGAACUGAGACACGGUCCAAACUCCUACGGGAGGCAGCAUG
Molecule: ribosomal RNA, 101 nt
Filed under: uncultured bacterium
Lineage: Bacteria
Description: partial 16S ribosomal RNA
Rfam family: Bacterial small subunit ribosomal RNA
Source: RNAcentral